Long non-coding RNA from Ictalurus punctatus (channel catfish), 829 nucleotides. RefSeq lists it as uncharacterized. The record is from RefSeq and is a predicted model, not a curated record. The transcript has 2 exons. NCBI's taxonomy places the organism in Eukaryota, Metazoa, Chordata, Actinopteri, Siluriformes, Ictaluridae.
UUUGCUCUAUAAAACCCUCUUGCUGCUUCUCUCUUCUCUCUGCUGUGCAAUAACCUCAAGUAGGUGCAGAUCUUCAAGUGUGUGUGUGUGUGUGUGUGUGUGUGUGUCCAGAGAACAGAGGAAACUUCAUCAUGAUUAAAGUUCUAACGGCGUGUAUCGUGGUGCUGGUGCUGACCAUGCAUCUCUCAACACAGGUUGUUGCAAACACAUUAGUUACUACUACUACUUCAGCAAACUCCACGGCUGCAAAGGGUGAAGGAUUCACAGUGCUGCCCAGCGUCCUCAGCCUCAUCCUCCCCACCGGCCUGCUCGCGUCUCUGCUCCAAAACCUCCACUGCUGAACCUCUCACGCCGGGGGAUCCGGAGUAAAGAUGGACGGAGCCACACCUAAAGAGCGACGCUUUCCAAAUUCUUGAAUCGCGGUGGAACCCGAGAUCUCCCUUCGACGGAUUAAACGAGUCCUAAUUUCUCUCGCUUGCAGAAAAGAAAAAGUCUCUUCAGCGACUACAACAUGAAGCGCUUUGGAAAAGUUUCUUGUCGGUUCUUAUGACGCCCAGGAAGUCAAGCUGCGCAGCACUGAUUGAGGCAAAUCGAGAAUUGACCCGUUCACUCUACAUUUCUCCCUCGGAAGUUUUCUUUUCUCCUUUUUUUCGUCCUUACACCUUUAGGACUUUGUAACGAAUCAUUAAAUACCGUUUUACAUUCGAGAAUUUAAAUCCUAAAAAAUGUCAUUAAAUUGAAUGAAAUAUCCAGAUUGUUUUUGCAUGAAUCUUUACUGUUAUUAUAAUUGUAACAGUCAUCGAUAAUAAAAAAAUAAAUGUUAAAAUAA